Molecule: ribosomal RNA, 256 nt
Filed under: uncultured bacterium
Lineage: Bacteria
Description: partial 16S ribosomal RNA
Rfam family: Bacterial small subunit ribosomal RNA
Source: RNAcentral
UAAUACGUAGGGUGCAAGCGUUAAUCGGAAUUACUGGGCGUAAAGCGUGCGCAGGCGGUUUGGAAAGAAGGAUGUGAAAUCCCAGGGCUCAACCUUGGAACUGCAUUCUUAACUGCCAAACUAGAGUAUGUCAGAGGGGGGUAGAAUUCCACGUGUAGCAGUGAAAUGCGUAGAGAUGUGGAGGAAUACCGAUGGCGAAGGCAGCCCCCUGGGAUAAUACUGACGCUCAUGCACGAAAGCGUGGGGAGCAAACAGG